GAUGAACGCUAGCGGCAGGCCUAACACAUGCAGGUCGAGGGGUAGGGUUAGCUUGCUAACUUGAGACCGGCGCACGGGCGCGUAACGCGUAUGCAAUCUACCUUGUACAGGGGGAUAGCCCAGAGAAAUUUGGAUUAAUACCCCAUGGUGUUAUGAUGUGGCAUCACAUUAUAACUAAAGUUCCAACGGUACAAGAUGAGCAUGCGUCCCAUUAGCUAGUUGGUGUGGUAACGGCAUACCAAGGCAAUGAUGGGUAGGGGUCCUGAGAGGGCGAUCCCCCACACUGGGGCUGAGACACGGACCAGACUCCUACGGGAGGAAGCAGUGAGGAAUAUUGGUCAAGGGGCGCAAGCCUGAACCAGCCAUGCCGCGUGCAGGAUGACGGUCCUAUGGAUUGUAAACUGCUUUUAUACGGGAAGAAACACUCCUACGUGUAGGAACUUGACGGUACCGUAAGAAUAAGGAUCGGCUAACUCCGUGCCAGCCGCCGCCGUAA
Molecule: ribosomal RNA, 496 nt
Filed under: uncultured bacterium
Lineage: Bacteria
Description: partial 16S ribosomal RNA
Rfam family: Bacterial small subunit ribosomal RNA
Source: RNAcentral